ACUUUGGGAUUAAGUAAAAGUUAUUGUUAGUUAGUUAGAUAGUUAAAUUAAGGAAAAAAUAUUAGUAAUAAAAGGUAAAAUUAGGUAUUACUGUAAUAUAGGUAUAAAUUUUAAAUCGAAGCUAAAAACUCCUAAUUAUAAACUAGGAUUAGAUACCCUAUUAUUCUAGGAAGAUUGAAUACAAUUAAUUAUUAAUAGAUAGAUACUCUAAAAUUAAAAAAUUUGGCGGUGACUUAAUCUCAUUAGAGGAACUUGUUUUUUAAUCGAUAAACCACGAAGUAUCUUACUUGCUUUUGUAAAAUUCAGUUUGUAUACCAUCAUUAUUUGGCUAUUCUAAAAAGAUAAAUUUCCGAGUUUGAUUAAUCACCCAAAUUAGAUCAAGGUGCAGCCUAUAAGCAAGCUAAAAUGAGUUACAAUAAAUUGUUUUAUACGAAUUAAUAGUGCUAGGUUAUUAUGAAGGAGGAUUUAAUUGUAGUGUGAAGUUAAUAAGGUCACAUGAAAUAAGCUCUAAGUCGUGU
Molecule: ribosomal RNA, 518 nt
Filed under: Dotilla sulcata
Lineage: Eukaryota; Metazoa; Arthropoda; Malacostraca; Decapoda; Dotillidae
Description: partial 12S ribosomal RNA
Source: RNAcentral